CUUCUUACCUUCUUGCACCUAGAAAAGAAACUGACUGAAUAGAUAUCACUCAAGGAAAAAUAUCCACAGAGACCACUGAAUUCAUUGCCCAAAUCCCUUGUUCAAUUUCAAUCAUUCUCUGUGGCUGGUUGUUUGAAUAAAUUUGGGUGCUUGAGGAGAUUAGGAGCUGCGAGUAGAUUUGGUGCUUCGAGUAGAUUGCCUUUGGGUUGCUUAUUUUCUGUUGAAGAACUUGAUUGGAGGUAGAAAUAGUGGGAGUGGUUCCAGUUUUCCUGAAUUAUCUUAAGGUGCUAGUAUAUGAAGUCUUACCUUGUAUGAAGUGCAAGCUUGAUUGUGUUUCCUUUGGCCACUAUUUUGUGCUGAUGUAGAUAGACUACUAUUCCAGGAGAUGUACUUCUAUUUUGCUGUGUAAAUGUUGUAUAUCUAGUAGAGGUAUAAACCUGGAGAGUUGGUACUGAAUUGUGGUGGAGUUGUUUUAAAAACAAGUUCUUUAUUUUGAAUGAAUAUACACUCCUUAUCUUA
Argentina anserina (silverweed cinquefoil) is the source of this 519-nucleotide long non-coding RNA. RefSeq lists it as uncharacterized. Lineage: Eukaryota; Viridiplantae; Streptophyta; Magnoliopsida; Rosales; Rosaceae. The record is from RefSeq and is a predicted model, not a curated record. The transcript has 2 exons.